GACUUAGAAGCUAAAAAGAAGCUGCGGUUUUGUAAACCGAAAAUUGGAAUUUCCCUAAGUCA
RNAcentral lists this transfer RNA (62 nucleotides) under Nemertopsis tetraclitophila. RNAcentral's name for it is "tRNA-Thr". Lineage: Eukaryota; Metazoa; Nemertea; Enopla; Monostilifera; Emplectonematidae. The record is from RNAcentral.